RNAcentral lists this ribosomal RNA (503 nucleotides) under uncultured bacterium. RNAcentral describes it as "partial 16S ribosomal RNA". It matches the Rfam family "Bacterial small subunit ribosomal RNA", at positions 30 to 523 of the family's 1533-position model. The record is from RNAcentral.
AUUGAACGCUGGCGGCAGGCUUAACACAUGCAAGUCGAGCGGGGUGAUGGUGCUUGCACUAUCACUUAGCGGCGGACGGGUGAGUAAUGCUUAGGAAUCUGCCUAUUAGUGGGGGACAACAUCUCGAAAGGGAUGCUAAUACCGCAUACGUCCUACGGGAGAAAGCAGGGGAUCACUUGUGACAUUGCGCUAAUAGAUGAGCCUAAGUCGGAUUAGCUAGUUGGUGGGGUAAAGGCCUACCAAGGCGACGAUCUGUAGCGGGUCUGAGAGGAUGAUCCGCCACACUGGGACUGAGACACGGCCCAGACUCCUACGGGAGGCAGCAGUGGGGAGUAUUGGACAAUGGGGGGAACCCUGAUCCAACCAUGCCGCGUGUGUGAAGAAGGCCUUAUGGUUGUAAAGCACUUUAAGCGAGGAGGAGGCUCUUUUGGUUAAUACCCAAGAUGAGUGGACGUUACUCGCAGAAUAAGCACCGGCUAACUCUGUGCCAGCCGCCGCAGUAA